CCUACGGGAGGCAGCAGUGGGGGAUAUUGCGCAAUGGGCGAAACCCUGAUGCAGCGACGCCGCGUGGGCGAAGAAGUAUUUCGGUAUGUAAAGCCCUAUCCGCAGGGACGAAGAAAUGACGGUACCUGAGUAAGAAGCACCGGCUAAAUACGUUACAGCAGCCGCGGUAAUACGUAGGGUGCAAGCGUUAUCCGGAUUUACUGGGUGUAAAGGGAGGGCAGGCGGCAAGGCAAGCCUGAUGUGAAAGCCCGCGGCCCAACCGCGGGACUGCAUUGGGAACUACCGGGCUGGAGUGCCGGAGAGGUAGGCGGAAUUCCUAGUGUAGCGGUGAAAUGCGUAGAUAUUAGGAGGAACCCCGAUUGCGAAGGCAGCCUUCCGGCGCCCUACUGACGCUGAGGCACGAAAGUGCGGGGAUCGAACAGGAUUAGAUACCCUUGUAGUC
Molecule: ribosomal RNA, 442 nt
Filed under: uncultured bacterium
Lineage: Bacteria
Description: partial 16S ribosomal RNA
Rfam family: Bacterial small subunit ribosomal RNA
Source: RNAcentral